This 433-nucleotide ribosomal RNA is filed under the name uncultured bacterium. RNAcentral's name for it is "partial 16S ribosomal RNA". It matches the Rfam family "Bacterial small subunit ribosomal RNA", at positions 29 to 507 of the family's 1533-position model. The record is from RNAcentral.
AACGAACGCUGGCGGCAUGCCUAACACAUGCAAGUCGAACGAGACCUUCGGGUCUAGUGGCGCACGGGUGCGUAACGCGUGGGAACCUGCCCUUAUGGUCGGAAUAACUCCCCGAAAGGGGUGCUAAUACCGGAUAAUGUCUUCGGACCAAAGAUUUAUCGCCUUUGGAUGGGCCCGCGUUGGAUUAGCUAGUUGGUAGGGUAAAAGCCUACCAAGGCGACGAUCCAUAGCUGGUCUGAGAGGAUGAUCAGCCACACUGGGACUGAGACACGGCCCAGACUCCUACGGGAGGCAGCAGUGGGGAAUAUUGGACCAUGGGCGAAAGCCUGAUCCAGCAAUGCCGCGUGAGUGAUGAAGGCCUUAGGGUUGUAAAGCUCUUUUACCCGGGAUGAUAAUGACAGUACCGGGAGAAUAAGCUCCGGCUAACUCCGUG